GGGAAAUGAGGACCACCGCUCCGGGGCGCGAGUAGGCGCCUGCAGUCCGGGGGCUCAGCCGCCGCGCCUCUUCCUCUUGCAGCUGGAGACUGCAACAGCGGCGGGUGCACCGGCAGCAGCGACGACCCUGCGCGCAGGUGGCAGUGUAGAAGCCAGACCGGGAGCUUCCAGAAGUGGUUUCUGAAAGAGUCAAAUGUACAUGAGUAAGCAAGCACAGGAAUCUGAAAAACCACAGUAAUUUGUCUGCUUGACUAAAAUAAGGACGAGUUAUGUGCUGAUGAGAGACACGUUUGUAAUGUUAUUCGUUAUGACACAGUUCAAAAGAAUUUGCCUUUGAUUCUCACUAAAAUGUAAAGUUUUGCAUAUUAA
Molecule: long non-coding RNA, 369 nt
Filed under: Pongo abelii (Sumatran orangutan)
Lineage: Eukaryota; Metazoa; Chordata; Mammalia; Primates; Hominidae
Description: lincRNA
Source: RNAcentral